RNAcentral lists this long non-coding RNA (3053 nucleotides) under Mytilus galloprovincialis (Mediterranean mussel). The record is from RNAcentral. Lineage: Eukaryota; Metazoa; Mollusca; Bivalvia; Mytilida; Mytilidae.
CAGUAAUACAUAUCAGAAAGUGAAUGAUGAAUGUAAGUUCCACUGGUCUCAGCUUCAGACUGAUUUCCUCGAAGAGUAUAGCUUAGAGACAAUUUUCCCGAUACAUUUACAGCUUCUAGUGCUACCUUUUUGUCUUGUUCACUUCACUAUUUGGUGUGCCAAGUAUUGUUGCUUUAAAAUUAGCGAUCGAAGAAUGAAUAAAGUCCAAAAUGGAGAUCACCAUGAUAGUUCAAGUUCUAACGAGAGGGAAAAGGACAAGAUAAAGAAAAAUCCAAUGUUUGUACGAGGUAAAAAUGUAAAAGAAGGAAGAUAUUAUUAAGAUCAUAUGUUUUCAUGCUGUUACAAUGUGUUCAACGGAACAAAUUAAAAAUUAUAUGGUUUGCAACUGACCCCCUAGAGGGUUAUUAAAUCCAUAGGGGGUGAUGCCGUAGAUCUAUGGAUUCGAAAGGGGGUCAGUAUUGAACUAUUUAAUAAAUGUAUCGCAAUACAGGCAUUUUCCUGCUGCGUUUUGUAGAAAAAUAAACAUUAAAAUAAAACAAAAUCAAUAGAUGACGUCGCCUUUAAGAGUAGACUUGACGUCAUGUUCCCCUAAGAAAAUUACUAACCUGGUCACCACGGGACGAAUUUAACCUAUCACAACGCGAUAAUGUACCCGCGGUGAGAUAAAGUGUCUUAGUGAUAAUGUUCAUAUCACAGAGUGGUUCAUAUCCGACUUUAUAAACACAGAACGUAUAUUAAUCAUAUAAAGAAAUGUAGCAAAUGGAAUUAACAUACAAAAAAUAAACAUGGCAAUUUGUAUUGAAUGCACAUAAGAUGACACUAUACGGAACGUUUUCAGAACUUAAUCAAACUGUUUUUUUUACGUUUUGCAAUUGUAAAAUGCAUUUAUUUUAAUUUAAGUCUUAUUUUAAUUUAAGUCUGAUUUAGAUAUUCAUUAUACUUGUUAUAUAAAGACCACAUCUGUAAACCGUUGUUCAAAAAUUCGGUUAAGCAAAAAAAAAAAAAAAAAAAACCUUCAAGAAUGUGAAGUUUUAAUUCAAAUUGCGUUAUAGCCAAUUUUUUAAAAAUUAUUGAAAAUUACAAAAAUGUAUGGAUUUCCAUACGUUGAGUCACAAGUCCAUAAAUUUUGUUUUUUUCAAUAGACUGUUUCUUUUUUUUAUUAGGAUAUUUUGUAAGGAUCUGAUACACUAUGAUAAACACUAAGAGUAAGACAUUUUUGUAACACAUGGAAAAACGGUUUAAUUUAUAUAACAUUAAAAUCUUCCUCUGUGUUCUGAUAUAGGAAAGAGAAACAUUUCGUUGUGGAUACAUCAUUAGGUUAAAUAUAUAUUAUGUAAAACCGUAGCUUGUUCAAUAAUUAGAAAACCAAUAUCGUAAAGUCGGCUUUAAACGGAUUCUGACAUGAAAAAUAUGACAUUCCAAUUGAGAAAACAUACGACAUAAUUUUAAAAAAACCCAUCAAUUUACGAAAAAAACAUGAACCAACAACACUGAAAACAAUUGGGACUGACACAUAAAAAAUGUGGAUAGAUUACAUUUUUGGGUAGUAAUCUAAUGUUAUAUAGCACAACAUUAGACUAUACUAUCAAAAUCUAUUGACAAAGGAAUAUUAUUCAGAUCGAUGUAAAGCAAAAUAAGAUCGAACAAAAACACAGACCAGACGUGGCAGUGUACUUGUGCAUCCAUAAAAACAACAAAAAACAUAGAUCUGCGAGUAUUCACAGUUACUGACAGCUAUUAAAAACUCAACACGAAUGUCCGAUUUUUAUUCACUCACCGAAAUGUAUGAGUUUGACCUAUGAUAAACUAGUUUACUCCAACCACAAAGUUAUACGUCCGUCUCUUUUCAGUUACCUUUUCAAUGGUCGUUUCAUGUCAUAGUUAUUAGUUGUUGGGUUUUAUUAUUUGGAUAAGUUGGAGUCUGGGCGGAUUAUUUCACUUUAUGGUUUAUUUACUCAUAACUAUCAUAUACACGGGUUAUUUUAGAGGUUGUCAUUUGAUUUAGACAUACGUUAUUUUUCAAGUCUGUAUGUUACCAAUAUUUAUUUGGUUAGUAAUCUCAUUGUGAUUUACCCAAAAAACUCUUUCAAUAUGACAGGAAUAUCUGUUAACGCCUGAGACCUUUGUCUAAUUUAACAGGCGAACUUUAAGCUUAAACUCGAAACCAUUUCGCAUAACAAGUAAUGUAAAGACAUUUUUUUUACCCUAGUGUUUUUGUACAACGCAGACAAUGAUCUGAAACUAAAAUCAACAGAAGAAGCGGAGAGAAUUGGAGCGGUGAAAUCAAGAGGGUAAUAAAGUUAUAGUUUUAUAAAUUUGUCUGUACAUUGAAAGUAAGCUCUGUUGAUAAAAAAUUAAAUUUAUCUAUAACAUGAAUAAUAACACAAUGUUGACUGCUGUACCACAACUUAUGACAUUUACCGAUUAUAUCGGUUUGUUUUUAUCACACAUCGAUUUCGAUAUAAUGAAUUUCUUGGCGACCGUCAUACGGGUGAUCUGUUUAGCUAGCUAUAAAACAAGGUUAAGCUUGAUAUAAAACAAGAUUUAGUCCACCAUUUUCUAAUUUAAGAAAACGUUUAUACCAAUUGAAAGUCAGGAAUAUGACAGUUGUUGUCCAUUCGUUUGCUUUUGAUUUUGAAAUUUUAUUAGGGACUUUCCGUUUUGAAUUUCCUUGAAGUUCUUUUUAGGGAAAUUUCCUUUUUAAUGUUACAUAUGUUUUAAAACCUCUUUUACUGUAAUUUGUAUUUUGUAAGGAAUUUGUAAGACAUUUCAAGAACAAAUAUUUUUCUGAAUUUUUCAAAGUGUAAUUUAGUCAGUGUGGGUUUUUGUUAUUUUGUAAAAUCGUUUAUGUACGCUUUUAUACAUUAAGUAUGUCCAAAAAAAAAAAAAAACGCGUAACGCGUAACAUCUGCCAAAAAGCGUCAUUUUGAAAUCGUUAUGGCUUGUCCUAUUUAGUCGAAUAAUUGAAUUUCUGACAGCUUUAAUCAUUUUACUAUUAUAACAGGAAAAUUGAGAUCACAGAAGAAGAUAAAAUAACGGUAUUUAAUAUUUAA